Molecule: ribosomal RNA, 449 nt
Filed under: uncultured bacterium
Lineage: Bacteria
Description: partial 16S ribosomal RNA
Rfam family: Bacterial small subunit ribosomal RNA
Source: RNAcentral
AACGAACGCUGGCGGCAUGCCUAACACAUGCAAGUCGAACGAGAUCUUCGGGUCUAGUGGCGCACGGGUGCGUAACGCGUGGGAAUCUGCCCUUUGGUUCGGAAUAACAGUUGGAAACGACUGCUAAUACCGGAUGAUGACGAAAGUCCAAAGAUUUAUCGCCAGAGGAUGAGCCCGCGUAGGAUUAGCUAGUUGGUGUGGUAAAGGCGCACCAAGGCGACGAUCCUUAGCUGGUCUGAGAGGAUGAUCAGCCACACUGGGACUGAGACACGGCCCAGACUCCUACGGGAGGCAGCGGUGGGGAAUAUUGGACAAUGGGCGAAAGCCUGAUCCAGCAAUGCCGCGUGAGUGAUGAAGGCCUUAGGGUUGUAAAGCUCUUUUACCCGGGAUGAUAAUGACAGUACCGGGAGAAUAAGCCCCGGCUAACUCCGUGCCAGCCGCCGCAGUAA